Molecule: long non-coding RNA, 2788 nt
Filed under: Lathyrus oleraceus (garden pea)
Lineage: Eukaryota; Viridiplantae; Streptophyta; Magnoliopsida; Fabales; Fabaceae
Description: Pisum sativum (pea) long non-coding RNA (PSAT_LNC024359)
Source: RNAcentral
UGGGCUUCGCCUAGCGAGCAUGACAGUUCAGGAAAUUCCUCUGAGCGCAGGUGAUUCUGGUGGCUUUUCUUGGGACUCGCUAGGCGACCCAUUCUGCUCGCCUAGCGAGCAUGACAGCUCAUGAACAAACUUUUGCUCCUUCAAGAUUAACAUUUUGAAAGUAACUCAAGUUAUUCCCUGGCCAUUUCCUCUUCAGUUGACCAACAGUUGACUUCUGGCUUCAUAGUUGAAUUUUGAAUCGUACUGAGCCCAUUAAGCUUUAUCCUUUAAAGAAAACCUCUAGUUGAUGCGCAAUCUCCCUUGUGUUGACUGAUCCUUCAGAUAGAACCCACAAAGUGACUUGGAUGAUAUCUAAGCUUCUUGGACGACAAACUCUUGGAGCUAAUACUGAUUGACAUGGUGAAAUGCAAUAUGAAAUGUUAAAUGACCUAAAAUGAAUGCAUGAAUGAGGAGGGCAAAUUUGAGGUGCUACAAAUGCCAUAUUCUAUAACUCUAUAGGCAAAGAACUGAAUUGCCAAGGUUUAUAACCUUAAAGGCAAAGGAAGGCCUUGCCAAGGUCUAUAACCUGAUAGGAAAGAGAGAUUGCAAAGCUCUAUCACCUUAAAGGAAAAAGAAUGAAUUGCCGAGGUCUAUAACCUGAUAGGCAAGAAAGAUUGCCAAGGUCUAUUACCUUAAAGGCAUAAAGAAGGCAACUAAUUGAAGGAGGGUGUACAACCACAAAGUGUUGGACACUAAAGAGAAUGUGACCCAAAGAGAGGGUGUGAUUAGUGAUCCAAAGAGGAAAGAGUGAUUGAUGUACCUGAAGAAGACUUUGUCAAUUACUUGAUUUGACUUACACUAAAGUCUAUGAAAGAAGGCGAAUGAUUUAAAUAGCUAGGGCAUAUGCUCCAUAUGUAAAGGCACUCUAGACAAGGGUAGGAGAGACUUCAUCUCAUCCUUCUUCGUUGCUUAAGGCUCAUGGCGUGUAACUCUCAUUGUAAUUAACAAGUAGCUGUUAGGAGAUUCUGAUUAUCGAUCCUGAUGAUGUAAUGUUAAUUGUUGUAAGAGGAGACUUGACAAUCAUUUGAUUCGUAUUAUAUUAAAGUCUAUGAACGAAGGAGAAUUCUUUGAAUAGCUAGGGCCUACGCCCCAUACACAAAGACACUCUAGACAAGGGUACGGGAAACUUCAUAUCAUCAUUCUUUGUUGCUUAAGGCUCAUGGCAUGCAACUUGAAUAAAGAUUGACAAGUGUUGAGGAAGAUCCUCUUGAUGUCGGGCCUUGAACAGUGCUUCAAUCUUCAUAGUCUUUCAUAAGAAGCUUGACUUGAUAGGACCUUGUAUCUGAGAUGAACCGAGGUAUAUAAUUGGUCUUGAAAGCCUGGACAAUGCCUUGAACUGGAAUUGACUGGAUUAGCUUGAUGGUGAAGCAGGCAAGGAGCAAUCUUAUAAAGUGAUCAAAAUCACUUGACUGGAAGGGGGCUUAAGCAACAAUGUAAGGAUAGACUAACCAAAAAUUACCUUGGUCAAUUCAUCAAGGUAUGAAUUAGGAAGUAUAAAGUCCUAAAGAUCAAAGAUGUUAUUAUGCAUAAAUUCUACCAAUAGAACUAAUCUUAAUUAAUUUCUAUUUGAAAAAAAGUCCAAAGCUUAUGUUCAAUUUUCAACACAUUAAUAUCUAAAAGAAAUUAAGUGUUCAUAUUUUUUUAAAACAAUAAUAAUUUACAAUUAAUGGAUGAAAAAUGAAUUAAUCAUUAAUAUUUUCCAUAAAAAUAUUUGCAUAAAAUAUGUAUUUAAAAUUUAUAAUAAAAAUAAAUCAAAUUAAAUGAAACAUAAGCAAAAAAUAGAAAAUAAAAUAAAAUAACAUGGGGGGGGGGGGGGGGUUUAAACCAAGCAGAAUGGGGCUUUAACAAGCCACAAUUUGGCGUAGGCCCAUACGAAGGCCCAAGGCUUACUUGAGUUUCAUCUAGAGGGGGUAAAUGUGAAAUUCAAGGGUGUGAAUAGCCAAUGGAUUGGGCCUAAGGCCCAAGGGAAUCUAAUACAUGUGCUCAAGAAAGUUCAGGUCAUUCAAUUCAAAAGUCAACGUGUUUCCAAGCUUCACCGAUCUCCUUAUGUCUCUGGCGUGCCGAUUUUUCCUCUGGCGGCGGCGAAAGUCGUAUCAUCACCUGAACCACAUCGCUAAAACCAUUUCUUCGCUCUAAACCUAAUUAUAGAGUGAAUUUGUCAUAAAUCCCAGCCAAUCCUCCUAAUCGAGGUUUCUAGUGGAGGAACCCUAGAUAUUGCAACUGAAAUUAAAUGACGAAUUAACAUGGAAUCAAAUAAUAAACCUAGGGUUAUUGCUCCUUGAAAGGAGCUUUACACAGUGGUAACAAUAAAUCAGCAGAAAGAUGGAAGAAUAAAUACCUCUGAAACAGAGGCUUGUUCCGACGAGAUGAUGGAUUGAAGAAGAUGAAUCAAAAAGGCUUUGAAUCAGGUAAUAGGCUCUUAUUUUCCUUGUUGUGGUUAAUCUUCAAUUCCUCCACUCUCCUUCUUCUUUUCUUCCCCGUUCUUCUGUUGAACUCACAUGUGAGAGAGAGAUACGAAUGGGAGUGAUUGAAAUUGAGUAUUCGUGAAUCUUGUCGUGUGUGUAAAGACGAUGAUUGUUCAGAAUGAGAAUAUGAGGUUGAGCUCCACUCCAUUGAAGCUUCAAUUUGGAGCUUUAAUGGAGAAUGUCGAAGGAGAUUUUGUGAGGGUGAGGAGAUAGAUUCUGAGAGAGAAUUGAAUUAGGAGAGUGAAGAUUGAGAUUGAGAAAUUAUUGAGACUUGUGAAAAAUAG